UGCAGUCGAACGGGAUAGAACUUAGCAAUAGGUUCUUGAGAGUGGCGCACGGGUGCGUAACACGUAUGCAACCUGCCCUUAAUCGGGGGAUAGCCUCUCGAAAGAGAGAUUAAUACCCCAUAAUAUAUUUGUUAGGCAUCUAAUGGAUAUUAAAACUCCGGUGAUUAAGGAUGGGCAUGCGGCUGAUUAGGUAGUUGGUGGGGUAAUGGCUCACCAAGCCAACGAUCAGUAGGGGGCCUGAGAGGAUGUCCCCCCACACUGGUACUGAGACACGGACCAGACUCCUACGGGAGGCAGCAGUAGGGAAUAUUGGACAAUGGAGGCAACUCUGAUCCAGCCAUUCCGCGUGCAGGAAUAAGGUCCUAUGGGUCGUAAACUGCUUUUGUAUGGGAAAAAAUCACUUUACGUGUAAGGUGUUGAUGGUACCAUGAGAAUAAGGAUCGGCUAACUUCGUGCCAGCAGCCGCGGUAAUACGAAGGAUCCAAGCGUUGUCCGGAUUUACUGGGUUUAAAGGGUGCGUAGGCGGGAGAUUAAGUCAGUGGUGAAAGCUGGUAGCUCAACUAUCAAAUUGCCAUUGAAACUGAUUUUCUCGAGUACGGUUGAGGUAGCUGGAAUGUAACAUGUAGCGGUGAAAUGCUUAGAUAUGUUACAGAACACCAAUUGCGAAGGCAGGCUACUAAACCGUAACUGACGCUGAGGCACGAAAGCGUGGGGAUCAAACAGGAUUAGAUACCCUGGUAGUCCACGCUGUAAACGUUGCAUACUCGGUCUUAGCGAUAUACAGUUAGGACCUAAGCGAAAGCAUUAAGUAUGCCACCUGGGGAGUACGGUCGCAAGAUUGAAACUCAAAGGAAUUGACGGGGGCCCGCACAAGCGGAGGAGCAUGUGGUUUAAUUC
RNAcentral lists this ribosomal RNA (897 nucleotides) under bacterium enrichment culture clone D41. RNAcentral describes it as "bacterial SSU rRNA". It matches the Rfam family "Bacterial small subunit ribosomal RNA", at positions 56 to 952 of the family's 1533-position model. The record is from RNAcentral.